Passer domesticus (house sparrow) is the source of this 819-nucleotide long non-coding RNA. RefSeq lists it as uncharacterized. The record is from RefSeq and is a predicted model, not a curated record. The transcript has 4 exons. NCBI's taxonomy places the organism in Eukaryota, Metazoa, Chordata, Aves, Passeriformes, Passeridae.
CAGCACAGCCCCCUCCAGGGCUACGUGCCACCUCCUGGCUGCUGAAAUGCCUUGGAGAAGCCGGGGCUGAGAGGAGUCGCUCCUCUCCCCAUGUCCUUUCCGACGCCUGAUGGGAAUCUGGAGCAGGCGAAGGCUGGAGAAAAAUCCCCAUUACAUUUCCCAGGGAUUAAGAGGGAAAUUCCCAGCGCACACUCUGUGCAAAUGAAACCCAGGCUCCUUUCCGUUGUUCGGCAGCCCCGGGAGAACACGUUACCUUUCAAUCUCGCACUCUAAUGUGUUUAGAGUUAAAAUCCCCCCGCCCCAGGCGAGCAAAGGAAGGAUCCCAGAGCCUUGAUUAAAGCACGGCUUCCUGAGCAAGGAUGUGCAUGUGGAGCUGCUGGGCUUGCAGUGUGCCCUGCCCAGCCAGAUGAGCCCAUGAGCACCAAGAGAUGCCACGACAUUCCAGUUUUCUGGUGGUGUCCUCAACAUGUGAUUUUGGAGAAGAAAAGCACCCACAGCCAUCACCCAGGGACCAGCUGCCCAUCACCACAGCGCUGGCAAACGUCCACUUUGGGAGGAUAACGAGCAUUUCUGGCUGCAGCAGCAGCAUAAAACACCACGAACUGCUGCUUGCAGGCUUCUCCCAUCGCUGCUCGCAGCAUCUGUGGAAGGGAAAACUUCCCAGCGUAACAUCCACAACCUCUUAACUGAGGGACCCUUCCCCAUGGCCAGAAACACUCAGCGGCUGUGCAGACAGAGCAGCUCUGCCUCCUGCACGGCUGGGCCAGGCACAGAGUGGCAGGCUGGCCCCAGAGAUGGGCUCCACAUCUGUGUAGGAAC